CAUAGGUUAAUGAGGCGAACCGGGGGAACUGAAACAUCUAAGUACCCCGAGGAAAAGAAAUCAACCGAGAUUCCCCCAGUAGCGGCGAGCGAACGGGGAGCAGCCCAGAGCCUGAAUCAGUGUGUGUGUUAGUGGAAGCGUCUGGAAAGGCGCGCGAUACAGGGUGACAGCCCCGUACACAAAAAUGCACAUACUGUGAGCUCGAUGAGUAGGGCGGGACACGUGGUAUCCUGUCUGAAUAUGGGGGGACCAUCCUCCAAGGCUAAAUACUCCUGACUGACCGAUAGUGAACCAGUACCGUGAGGGAAAGGCGAAAAGAACCCCGGCGAGGGGAGUGAAAAAGAACCUGAAACCGUGUACGUACAAGCAGUGGGAGCACGCUUAGGCGUGUGACUGCGUACCUUUUGUAUAAUGGGUCAGCGACUUAUAUUCUGUAGCAAGGUUAACCGAAUAGGGGAGCCGAAGGGAAACCGAGUCUUAACUGGGCGUUAAGUUGCAGGGUAUAGACCCGAAACCCGGUGAUCUAGCCAUGGGCAGGUUGAAGGUUGGGUAACACUAACUGGAGGACCGAACCGACUAAUGUUGAAAAAUUAGCGGAUGACUUGUGGCUGGGGGUGAAAGGCCAAUCAAACCGGGAGAUAGCUGGUUCUCCCCGAAAGCUAUUUAGGUAGCGCCUCGUGAAUUCAUCUCCGGGGGUAGAGCACUGUUUCGGCAAGGGGGUCAUCCCGACUUACCAACCCGAUGCAAACUGCGAAUACCGGAGAAUGUUAUCACGGGAGACACACGGCGGGUGCUAACGUCCGUCGUGAAGAGGGAAACAACCCAGACCGCCAGCUAAGGUCCCAAAGUCAUGGUUAAGUGGGAAACGAUGUGGGAAGGCCCAGACAGCCAGGAUGUUGGCUUAGAAGCAGCCAUCAUUUAAAGAAAGCGUAAUAGCUCACUGGUCGAGUCGGCCUGCGCGGAAGAUGUAACGGGGCUAAACCAUGCACCGAAGCUGCGGCAGCGACGCUGAUGCGUUGUUGGGUAGGGGAGCGUUCUGUAAGCCUGUGAAGGUGUGCUGUGAGGCAUGCUGGAGGUAUCAGAAGUGCGAAUGCUGACAUAAGUAACGAUAAAGCGGGUGAAAAGCCCGCUCGCCGGAAGACCAAGGGUUCCUGUCCAACGUUAAUCGGGGCAGG
RNAcentral lists this ribosomal RNA (1175 nucleotides) under Escherichia coli. Its description in RNAcentral is "partial 23S ribosomal RNA". It matches the Rfam family "Bacterial large subunit ribosomal RNA", at positions 165 to 1378 of the family's 2925-position model. The record is from RNAcentral. Lineage: Bacteria; Pseudomonadati; Pseudomonadota; Gammaproteobacteria; Enterobacterales; Enterobacteriaceae.